CUAACGUGCUUGUGUGGUUGAAGAGUAAUUAUUUGUAUUUGGGAUUGGUUCAAUGGUUUUGCUAAAAGUGCAUCUUUUGGGGUCCUUUCGUACAAUCAAAAAGAGAUUUAAAUAAGGAGAUAGAAACCAACCUAGCUUGCGCCGGUCUUAACUCAGCUCAUGUAAGGGUAUAAUAGUCGAACAGACUAUCCAGUUAUAGCGGUUGCACUCAUAUGGAUAUCCUUAAGCCAACAUCGAGGUCGCAAACCCAGCUUUCGAUGUGUACUCUCAAGCUGGAUUACGCUGUUAUCCCCGGGGUAGCUACUUUUUAGUUCUUAUUAAGCUCUGAAUGAGUUUUUUAAAAAAAUGGAAGUUUUAGUUAUUCCAUGAUUGCCCCAAUCAAACUUAGGAGAAUUUAUUUUUUGAGGGAUAAAGUCUUGUAGGUUAAGCUCCGCGGGGUCUUUUCGUCUUCCUUUAUUAUCUGGGGCUUUUCACCCAGAAGAAAAGUUAUUUUUACAUACAGGGUAUAGAAAUUCCCAGUCUUGCCAUUCACUGGCCUUCAAUUAAAAGGCUAUUUAUUACGCUACCUUAGCACGCUCACGCUAACGCGGCCGUUUAAAGAUUCACUGGGCAGGCAUUAUCUUCUAUAAAAAUUAUUUUCAGAAGACGAUGUUUUUGGUAAACAGGCAGGGAAUUUAUUUGCCGAGUUCACUUUGUAUGAUUAAGAGCAAAUUUAGGGGGUUAGUCUCGAUUUAAAAUUUGAUUUAUGAGAAUAAAGUUUUGAAAAUACUAAUAGAAUGCCUGUUCAGUAGUGGGUUAGUUAACCAAUAAGUUCCUUUAUUAAGUAAAAUUUUUGUUUUAUAUUAGAAGAUGAUGGAUGUUAACUAGAACGUUUUUGGGUGGCUGAUUUUAAGCCUACUUGAAUCAGUGUUUGAAAGAACAUUUUUGAGGUCCUGCGAGCUUGUCCCCGCAGGGGUGACCUAUUUAGACUUCUAGUUUUGAGAUAGAAAUAAGCUAUUAGGCGGUACUUUGAUACUUUUAAAGGAAAACCAGCUAUCUGAUCAUAUGAAAGGUUUGUUGCUUCUACUAAGGGCUAGUAGAUCAAUUAUGACACAUUGAUUUGAAAGGCUUAGUAGCUCAUGAUCUUUCGGGAGAUUAAAUGUAAUUAAGGUUUUGUUGCUUCUCCAUGAUGCAAAAGGGAUGUUGUUUUAGAACUUCUUUAUAAAACUAUAUAUAAAUCCUCGCGGUGUAAGAAAAGAAUAUUGUUGUUUUAGAAAUACUUUGGUGGUUAGAAAUUUCUUUCAGAUGUGGAUUAAGUAAAAUUACUAAUUUGGUUUACAAAGGGAGGUAAUCCGUAAAAAGAGCUACAAUCUUUUGCCUAAGAUCUCGGC
RNAcentral lists this ribosomal RNA (1370 nucleotides) under Lamellidens marginalis. RNAcentral describes it as "16S ribosomal RNA". Lineage: Eukaryota; Metazoa; Mollusca; Bivalvia; Unionida; Unionidae. The record is from RNAcentral.